Long non-coding RNA from Corvus hawaiiensis (hawaiian crow), 282 nucleotides. RefSeq lists it as uncharacterized. The transcript is spliced from 3 exons. The record is from RefSeq and is a predicted model, not a curated record. NCBI's taxonomy places the organism in Eukaryota, Metazoa, Chordata, Aves, Passeriformes, Corvidae.
AGCGAGAGGAGGCGCCGCGUGCGUCCAGCGCUCUCUGGAUCUGCAGCCCCUUCGCGCCGGGAGCAUCGCUGCCCCCGCAUGCCGCAGGACUUCUCAUUCCCAAGCCUUGGCCGAAUGGAGGAGGAGGAGGCAGUGAGGAAGAUGCCCCGGGAGCCCCAGGCAGGCACUGAGCUGCAGAUGGAGACCAGGGAGGACAAACCCCUGUGGCAGAACCUCAUGGAAGAGGCUGCUUUGAGUGGCUCAAUGGCACAGGAAUCACACGGGGAGGAAAAGCCAGAGGGA